GACGAACGCUGGCGGCGUGCUUAACACAUGCAAGUCGAACGGAAAGGCCCUGCUUGCAGGGUACUCGAGUGGCGAACGGGUGUGUAACACGUGUGUGAUCUGCCCUUCACUUCGUGUUAAGCCUUGGAAACUGGUUCUAAUACCGGAUAGGAGCCAUUUUUAGUGUGAUGGUUGGAUAGUUUUUUCGGUGUAGGAUGAGCUCGCGGCCUAUCAGCUUGUUGGUGGGGUAAUGGCCUACCAAGGCGGCGACGGGUAGCCGGCCUGAGAGGGUGGACGGGCAAAAUGGGAAGGAGAAAAGGGCCAGACACGGAAGGGAGGAAGAAGGGGGGAAAAAUGAAAAAAGGGGGGAAGCCAGAAGCAGAGAAGGCGAGGGGGGGAAGAAGGGCUUAGGGUUGUAAAAUCAUUUCGCUAGGGACGAAGCUUAUAGUGACGGUACCUAGAUAAGAAGCACCGGCUAACUACGUG
Molecule: ribosomal RNA, 465 nt
Filed under: uncultured bacterium
Lineage: Bacteria
Description: partial 16S ribosomal RNA
Rfam family: Bacterial small subunit ribosomal RNA
Source: RNAcentral